This 301-nucleotide ribosomal RNA is filed under the name uncultured bacterium. RNAcentral describes it as "partial 16S ribosomal RNA". It matches the Rfam family "Bacterial small subunit ribosomal RNA", at positions 509 to 807 of the family's 1533-position model. The record is from RNAcentral.
CAGCAGCCGCGGGAAUACGUAGGGUGCAAGCGUUAAUCGGAAUUACUGGGCGUAAAGCGUGCGCAGGCGGUUCUAUAAGACAGAUGUGAAAUCCCCGGGCUCAACCUGGGAACUGCAUUUGUGACUGUAGAGCUGGAGUGCGGCAGAGGGGGACGGAAUUCCGCGUGUAGCAGUGAAAUGCGUAGAUAUGCGGAGGAACACCGAUGGCGAAGGCAAUCCCCUGGGCCUGCACUGACGCUCAUGCACGAAAGCGUGGGGAGCAAACAGGAUUAGAUACCCCAGUAGUCCCUGUCUCUUAUAC